Long non-coding RNA from Dromaius novaehollandiae (emu), 2155 nucleotides. NCBI's taxonomy places the organism in Eukaryota, Metazoa, Chordata, Aves, Casuariiformes, Dromaiidae. The record is from Ensembl.
GUGGACUGCAGUGAGGAACAGGAGUGGAAUGUGUGGCUGGUUUCUUUUAUAGCUAAAGCUUAUAUUGAAACUUAAGGUUGCAUUUUCAUGAAAGCUUUGGCUGGGGGAGAAAAUUGAGGUGGGGUGUGAUUGUUUUUCAGGACGUUUCUCCACCAGCGGAAGUUCCUGCGUCAGUGCAAUUGUGAUCAGCCUCAGAGCGCGACUGCCAAGAGCAUGUUUUUCAGACUUUCGCUCCAGGUGUAAGGUGAAUUCACCAAAAUGGCAUCAAUACAUCAGAGACAAAACGAGGAUCUCAAUCGUUGUCACUUGCGGAGGAUCGGAUGCAAACCCACGGUCGCUGGUGUUGCUGAUCUUAUUCACUUUUAUAAGGACGUUACACUGUUUGGCAGAAACAAAGAUGUCGUGGACUACUACAUUAGCUCUCCAGGUGAAACAAAAGACUGCAUAUCGCGACAUCAUGCCAGAGUGAUUCGAACCGCUGAUACUUACGAGCUCGUGGAUUCCAGCCUGACAGGCGUUUAUGUUAAUGACAUCAAAAUUGGUGGUAAAGUUAYCUUGCAGAAAGGUGAUACUGUUAUAUUUGGGCAUCCCACAGAAAGAUAUGUAAAGCCUGGAACACAAGUUCGUCARCCAAACUCACAGCUCUGCUUUCUGUUUGAACACUGUUGCUGCAGGAUUGACCAGUGGCAAAAUGCCUGUGAUGAGAUGAGGAAUUUCAUACCACAGAUUCCAUUACUCCCGUUAACAUCUCCAGAGGUUCCUCAAUUCAGCUCAAACUUGGUGUUUGAGAAAAGCGUUAGUCUUCCUGCUCAACCCCCAUCAACACAGACACCCCGAGAUACUCCACGUAAUGUUGGAGCUCUGUCUGAGUCUAGUAUGUGUUCUGGAGGGAGAGAGGCUUCCACGGUCACCGUGUCCUUGCCAUUUAGUUCUGUGGGAUCAAUAAAAUUUUCAGCKAAGUCCUCUGUCUCUACAAAUUUUACUACUGUGACUUCAGCCAGAUUUGAAAAGCAAGGAACCUGUAAAUCAACUGCAAUAUCAGAUACUACCCUGAAAGGUUGCACUACAUUGGAGCCUCUGCUUUUACGCUCUGCUUCACCCGAAUAUGAGGUAAUGAGCAGGAAUUCAGCAGUGACUGCGGAGUCUGUUCAACAGGCAGCCUUUUUGCCUCAGGAAAAUGUCUCAAGCAAARCAAAACUGAUAAAUCCUGACUUGCUACCUAUGGAACAAAGUGAAGGCCAGACCUAUGCAUCAAGAUCCAUCCCAGAAUCUUACAAACUAUUUCUGGAAGAAAAACGGGACAGUGAAGGAGUAGAAAUGGAACCUUAUUCAGCAGCUUCUCCUAAUGAGGAACCUGUGAUACCCAGGGAUAUUGUGAGGGCAGACGAUUGUCACCCGUGUAGCAGAGAGCUAGUUAGUCUUUCAGUUGGCAUGUUAGCUCUUUCAGACUCAUCUCAGCCGGGAUGUCAAGGCCAACRUGUUCCUCGGUUGUUAGAACCUGUAGCUGACAAGUCAGUGCUUCAGAGUUGUGAAGGGUCUGACAGUGAGUUAGUGGUGAUGGAGACUGAUGUUGAUGAAUGCACAGAURAAAUGGUUAGAUAUGAAACUGCUGAGACUUCAGGACUUGGCACUCAGGUUAUGAAUCUACUUGAGGCCACAAAAGAAGAUACGAAUAAUGUGCCAUUAGUCAGUAGUUACAAGGAGAAGACAACAGAAAAGGAAAGUCCUGUGGAGCACCACAGAGAGACCUCUGAGGAACGGCAUAAACCUGAUGUUUGUGCACGUGAUGCUUCAUGUGAGACUACAUUUUUUACUGAAAUAGAAAUGUAUGAAUAUUAUCCAAAGAAAAAAAAAUGUUCUUCUGUUAACAGCUCAACAGAAUCAGUCACUGACAUAAAAAAUAAUUCAGAAAAUGGUGACCCUAUUAAAAGAACAAGGGGUCUUGAAGGUCAGCAUGCCACUGUAAAACAAAUAGAGAAUCAAAAAAACCCAGUGCGUKCUGGUAUUAAAACUGCAGCAGCAGAAGAGGAGUUGCUGUCUGAAACCACUGAGGCUCUAAGCAUUAGAGUGCAGGACACGAGUGUACAGCUGGAGCCAGAAAUGRAGCUUUUGUACUCUGAGACCAAAAGUGACCUUACGUCAACUUUAAAAGAAA